AUUUAAAUAGUUUAAAAAAAAUUUUAACUUGUGAUGUUAAAGAUAUAAUUAGUUUAUUUUAAAUU
This 65-nucleotide transfer RNA is filed under the name Parapolybia varia. Its description in RNAcentral is "tRNA-His". The record is from RNAcentral. Lineage: Eukaryota; Metazoa; Arthropoda; Insecta; Hymenoptera; Vespidae.